UCACGCAGUCGGAGUCGUGGUAGGAGGUCCAGAUCAGCUUCGUAUCGUAGGUCCCGGUCUAUUUCUCCUCGUAGGUCUAGGUCUGUGUCUCCCCGCCGGUCCCGGUCUGGUUCCUUGAAGAGAUCAAGGUCUAGGUCAAGAUCCAGAUCUAGAUCCAGAUCUGUUACAUGGCCCCGAAGCAGGUCUAGGUCUCAUGGCAGAUCAAAAUCUGGCUCACCAGCUAAGAGUCGGUCAAAGUCCCGAUCGCCGUCUCCAAAGAGAAGUCAUUCACCAUCAGGAAGCCCUCAAAGAAGUGCAAGUCCUGAAAGAAUGGAUUAAAGUUAUGAAGUUAAUCUUUUAGGAAGAAAGUUAUUUUGCUUACAUUAUUAUAAGGGAUUUUGUGGUGUCUUUGUAAAUGUAAGAAUGUAGAUAGAACAGUAUAUCAACUGAAAUUUGGCAUGGUCUGGGUCUCCUGAGUUACCACACCAAUAGACUAGCACAGGUCUCUUUUUACUGUAUGAAUUAACUUCCUGUGAUACGGAAAUGUGGGACUUUUUUAUUGGCACAUUGAAAUAAAAUGUGUAUUUUUAAC
Molecule: non-coding RNA, 571 nt
Organism: Leptosomus discolor (cuckoo roller)
Lineage: Eukaryota; Metazoa; Chordata; Aves; Leptosomiformes; Leptosomidae
Source: RefSeq, a predicted model, not a curated record